Molecule: ribosomal RNA, 506 nt
Filed under: uncultured bacterium
Lineage: Bacteria
Description: partial 16S ribosomal RNA
Rfam family: Bacterial small subunit ribosomal RNA
Source: RNAcentral
AUUGAACGCUGGCGGCAGGCCUAACACAUGCAAGUCGAACGGUAACAGGAAACAGCUUGCUGUUUCGCUGACGAGUGGCGGACGGGUGAGUAAUGUCUGGGAAACUGCCUGAUGGAGGGGGAUAACUACGGGAAACGGUAGCUAAUACCGCAUAACGUCGCAAGACCAAAGCGGGGGACCUUCGGGCCUCUUGCCAUCGGAUGUGCCCAGAUGGGGUUAGCUAGUAGGUGGGGUAACGGCUCACCUAGGAGACGAUCCCUAGCUGGUCUGAGAGGAUGACCAGCCACACUGGAACUGAGACACGGUCCAGACUCCUACGGGAGGCAGCAGUGGGGAAUAUUGCACAAUGGGCGCAAGCCUGAUGCAGCCAUGCCGCGUGUAUGAAGAAGGCCUUCGGGUUGUAAAGUACUUUCAGCGGGGAGGAAGGGAGUAAAGUCAAUACCUUUGCUCAUUGACGUUACCCGCAGAAGAAGCACCGGCUAACUCCGUGCCAGCCGCCGCGGUAA